GGAGAGAUGGCCGAGUGGUCGAAGGCGGUCGCCUGCUAAGCGGCUGUAGAGGGCUAAAAACCCUCUACCGCGGGUUCGAAUCCCGCUCUCUCCG
RNAcentral lists this transfer RNA (94 nucleotides) under Ammonifex degensii KC4. It matches the Rfam family "tRNA". From Rfam's summary of the family: Transfer RNA (tRNA) molecules are approximately 80 nucleotides in length. Lineage: Bacteria; Bacillati; Bacillota; Clostridia; Thermoanaerobacterales; Thermoanaerobacteraceae. The record is from Rfam by way of RNAcentral.